This 4179-nucleotide long non-coding RNA is filed under the name Gallus gallus (chicken). Lineage: Eukaryota; Metazoa; Chordata; Aves; Galliformes; Phasianidae. The record is from RNAcentral.
CUGUUGUGCAGUCAAACAGUUUAACUCUGUGACCCAAGGAACCACCAUCGCUAUGGUCUGCCACUACAGAUUUUCUUCACUCUUAGGAAUAAGCAGUUCUUCAGACUCAAGUGCCUGAGGUAGGACUUCUCUUUUGGUUUUAAAAGAAACAAAAGCAGAUUUGGCAACAGCCCUUCUUUAAAAACAAAAACAAAAACAAAAAACAAAGAACUCUGAAUCAAAUUUGGAUCUCUACAACAAAACAAAAGCUAGAGAUCUUUCUAAGUCAGCUUAUUACUGUGUUUCUGCUGUUUGUUCUUACUUGUUCUUUGCAAGGGAACUCAAAUUAUUUUAUAAAUACCAGAGUGACUUCUGUUGUGAUUAUUUUCCAGAAAAACAUAUAUCUUUUGUAUGUCAAAGUUUUCUAUAUUCUUGAAACUGUCUUAAAACGUUUUUAACUUGGUUAUUGUUGGAGAGUGUCCUCAUCUUUGGAGGUAUUUAAGAGAUGUGUGGACGUGGCACUAAGGGACAUAGUUUGGUGAUGAGAUUUGGUAGCUCAGGUUGAUGGUUGGUCUUGGUGAUUGUGAAGGUAUUUUCCAACCUAGAUGAUUGUAUGAUUAUAAGAGUAUGAUUCUUAUCUGUGAUUUCACAGAAGAGUACUAUGGGACACAGUUGCUCUCCAUGCCACCUAAAGGACAGACCACAGAAAUGUCCAUUCCUUCUCAGAAAGAGCUCUGAUGACUGCAGGCAUUAAAUGCAGCUUCUUGUCAUUCAGUGGCUCACAGUCUCACAGAAAAUCUGCAGCCUGUGGCUGGCAUUCCUCUCUGAAUUCUGAACCCGUUCCUUAGGUGAACGCUGGGAGAUGUGUCAUCUUAAGUUGUGGUGGCUGGCUGAUGGAAGAAAGAGGAACAAAGAUGUUUUUUUUUUUUUUUUCUUUGUGGAGAAUCUUUUAAUUCUCUGAGAUUACCUCAGUGAUUCUCACCUUUUGUGCAGCUGAAUGAGUCCCUCCUAGAAAAAAUAAUUGUUCUGCAAAUCUUCUCCAAACACAUGGCUGAAUAUCUAGGCAGCAGUUCUCUUGUUAGUAUACAUGAAACCUCAUGAAUUUUGUGAUGGAUCAUCUGCCUGUCAGCUUGGAGUCCACGGCUACAUAUUUGCUCAUACAGACUGUUGAGAUCUAAGCUCUUUAAUUUGCAAUUGUAAUAUGUUAUUUUCUACAAAUAAAAUGCAACUCAGUUACAGGACAUUCAGAAUCACUCAAUUCUAAUCUAGAAUGUCAGCAAGCCCAUUUCACUGACAUUAUUGUUUUGACACUGAGUGUAAUAGAAAUGAUUAAGCCAGGAAGAGAGCAGCACUUACUUGACUGCUGUCAGCUACUGAACCACAAUAGCCCAGCACACAGACUCUAUUCAGCUGAUGAAACGUGAAACUUGAUAUGCUACUGCGAAAUGCUAGUAACCACAAUGCUAUAUUUCAAUCUCUACUUGAUUUUAUAAAUGUUUAGUCUCACUCCGUUAGACCCAGUCUCAUACAAAAGCAAUUCCUGUUUCACAACUGGGAGAAAUAGCAACCAAACUUCUUUCUUUUAAAUUCUCUGUAUCCAGGCAUGUGUCAAGGCCUUUUUUAUUAUUUUUUCAAAUGGAAGAAUGUAUUCAGAUGGGGGAUGAAAAUGGAAAGGAUACGAACAAUAGUAGCCCUUGUGACUUUAAUGUGGAGAUUAAGAUUCAUGAUGGUAGGAAUGUAAUGGGAUAGAAAUAUAUAUCAUGACCCUUCUACCCUUCCAACAGAAUGUAUACUUUGUUCUGAAAUAAUUUGUUAUUGCUAAGCUUGGAGAUGCAGGCAUUUGAACUGAGUGCUAAGUGGGUAUUUCUUCAAAAUAGGUGUUUGCUUUCCUUUACAUUUUAUAUAAUUUUAUAUCAUUAUGCUGUCAAGUGUCCUAUGGUAUAAGACUAACACAUUGGGCACAGAGAAGGCAGUGUAAUGUUAUAAGUAAAUACCUCUGUCUCUCUCUUAUGUCUGAAGUGAAAACUCCCUUUUCCUCUUGGCUAUGUGCAUAGAAGAUCCAUAGUGUUCCUUCAAGAUACUUCAAAUUAUAGUUAUAAAUAGUCUUAACAUUUUUUUCUGAUUUUAUAGUUCAAAAGAUUUUAGUUUAGACUACAGUUGUUCAGUAAGAAUUAUACCCAUAACAUCUAAGGCACUGCAGAAUAAGUAUUUAAUUCACGCAAUUCAGAUUAGAUUCGAAAUUCAGAAAGAGUAGGUGACAAUGAGACAUAGAGAGCCUAUGGGAACUGACUCUCAAGGUACAAAGCAUCCCCUGCAACAGGGUUAUUUGAUGUCUGUCCCCACUGGAAGUAGGUGGCACCUAGCUGUCUCCACAUACAUGGAGGCAUUUACGUGAUGGAUGCCCCGUUCCUGGAGACACUCAAGAUCAGGCUGGAUGGGGCUCUGAGCAACCUGGUCGAGCUGUAGGUGUCCCUGUUCAGUGCAGGGGAGUUGGACUAGAUGACCUUUAAGGGUUCUAUCCAACUCAAACAAUUCUGUGAUACUGAUUCUAUGAUUACGCUGCCAAAUAGUGCUAUUCUUCUACUGAUACAGCUUGAAGGGAUCUGACUUUGAAUGAUGAGAAACAAAAUGUGGGAAAAUGAAAAGAUUGCCUGCAAAACUUUCAGCAGAGUAGAAGCCCUCAGGUUUCUUAUAAAGUAAUUAUAUGGUUACAUAAAUAACUUUAUACAUUUACCUCUUAAAUAAAAUAUCACCUUAGGGAAGAGCCCGAUUUCUUUUACUGCUAUAUAAAUAGAGAAUGUGUUUGUAUUACCUAUAUCAUGUUCAUAACAACUCCUACGAUUGUUGUCUCUCCGUGUACAUAUGUUCGAUAUUACAAUUAUUCAAAGGUUCUCUUCCUGAUGAAAGUGUGAGCAUUUCCUACUGACAUGCUAUCUGACAUAGAAAAGAGAGGUGUUGGACACUCCUAACGGACUUGAAUCCUUUGUAGGUUUCUCAUCUUCUCAGGUAGGCAGCCAUGAAACACUGACUCAAGAGAGAAUGUGGAUAAGUUCUUAUAUUUUAGAUUCUGGAGCACUUUUAGCAUUAUUUGAACAGUGCUGUCCCAGAGAUAGGAGAACUUCAGUAUACACUUCAUUGAUUUAGAGAAAGGCAAAACUCUGGACUAAACGGCAAAUGGUAUGGUAACCUUAUUUAUUCAUAGCAGUAAUAAAAUCGGAGAUAUACAUGCAAGUGGGCAGUAGACUAAAAUAACUAUAUAUCCUGGGGCACACUAAUUGACAUAGUUUAUAGGCCAAAAAAAGUAGAAAAGAACUGGCUAACCAGGCAAGGAGCAUGAAUGGGGCAUGAGUUCAUGUUUGGGAGCUGGAAAUUAUGGGUCAGUCACUAGCUUUGCUGUAAUUUUUGGCAUACCAAAACAUAAUCACUUUACCCAUUCUGUAAAACCAUCAUCCUCCUACGCAAUCUCCAGGCUGUGAUGAGAGUAAAGGAAGCACAAAUGCUUCCCAUGGAAGCUCACUGAACAGGCCUGCCCUUCCAUGACAAUGUCUGCUCAGCCAGGAAGAACAGAGAGAGAGAUCAGGACAGGGUUUGACACGAGCUGGGAAGGCAACAGCUUAUUCUUCCCUUAGCUUGCAGUAAAUUUUAAGGUUUGAAAAUGCAGAUCCUGCUCCAAAUGUUUUAAAAAGAAAACAAAAUGCAGGGCUGCAUGUUUACAAAAACAAUCAGGAAUGGCAAACUGUUUUACCUUUAUAUGUGCAGCAUGUUCAGGUUUAGCUUUUUAAACUGUUUCAACUUUUUGAAAUAUUUUUUCAUUCUCUUAUUUUAAACUCACUCAAAUAUGACAAUGUGUUCUGAAAGAAGAAAAGGAGCUUUUUCUGUGGCCUGAAUCUCCCUAUGGAAGUAGUUGCACUUUCCUCCCGUGGCCAGCGUGACUUUCCUAGAAGAUAACACACCGCUGGCUCUGCACACACACACACUGUGCGCGUUUCAGCUCCCAGCCAUAACAUGUCUUUAGCAAAGGUUUGGGGUUUCGCGCUUUGGGCUGGCCAGGCUCAGAGUGAAGAAAGGGAGACUUACUCUGUGGUUUCACAAUUGGCUGAGCCCAUCCCGCUGUGGGCUGUCGCCGAAAGCUGCACUCUGGCUUUUCCCACUGCAGAACAGGUUGCUCUAUGGCCAUCCCUCUGCUCACACAGGGAGAUG